RNAcentral lists this ribosomal RNA (204 nucleotides) under uncultured Anoxybacillus sp. RNAcentral describes it as "partial 16S ribosomal RNA". It matches the Rfam family "Bacterial small subunit ribosomal RNA", at positions 1180 to 1382 of the family's 1533-position model. The record is from RNAcentral. Lineage: Bacteria; Bacillati; Bacillota; Bacilli; Caryophanales; Anoxybacillaceae.
UGACGUCAAAUCAUCAUGCCCCUUAUGACCUGGGCUACACACGCGCUACAAUGGGCGGUACAAAGGGUCGCGAACCCGCGAGGGGGGAGCCAAUCCCAAAAAGCCGCUCUCAGUUCGGAUUGCAGGCUGCAACUCGCCUGCAUGAAGCCGGAAUCGCUAGUAAUCGCGGAUCAGCAUGCCGCGGUGAAUACGUUCCCGGGCCUU